This is a non-coding RNA of Podarcis lilfordi (Lilford's wall lizard), 343 nucleotides long. The record is from the annotation of a GenBank genome assembly. Lineage: Eukaryota; Metazoa; Chordata; Lepidosauria; Squamata; Lacertidae.
GACUAAGCCGCUUCUGGAGAACCAGAGCAGUGCACGGAAAUGCUGUUUACCUUCCCGCCGGAGCGGUACCUAUUUAUCUACUUGCACUUUGAGGUGCUUUCGAACUGCUAGGUUGCCAGGAGCAGGGACUGAGCAACGGGAGCUCACCCCGUCGUGGGGAUUCGAACCGCCGACCUUCUGAUCAGCAAGUCCUGGGCUCUGUGGUUUAACCCACAGCACCACCCGUGUCCCACAACAUGGGGAUUAGCAGCUAAUAAAAGUUUGGGUUCUCUUUUGUUCGGGGCUUCCAUCUUGUUCCACCUUGUGGCAGGUGGAAGUCCUGUCUCGAGGGUCUUCAAUAAAG